UCCGUAGGUGGAUAAUUAAGUCAGAGGUGAAAUCCUGCAGCUCAACUGUAGAAUUGCCUUUGAUACUGGUUAUCUUGAGUUAUUAUGAAGUAGUUAGAAUAUGUAGUGUAGCGGUGAAAUGCAUAGAUAUUACAUAGAAUACCAAUUGCGAAGGCAGAUUACUAAUAAUAUACUGACACUGAUGGACGAAAGCGUGGGUAGCGAACAGGAUUAGAUACCCUGUUAGUCC
RNAcentral lists this ribosomal RNA (229 nucleotides) under uncultured bacterium. RNAcentral's name for it is "partial 16S ribosomal RNA". It matches the Rfam family "Bacterial small subunit ribosomal RNA", at positions 568 to 796 of the family's 1533-position model. The record is from RNAcentral.